AUGGGCAGGCGGAUAGGGGACGGUUCCCGGAUAAAUAUUCUUCGUGAUAACUGGAUCGUGAGGAAUGGGAGCCUCAGGCCUUUGGGCGAGGAUUAUGAGCAGGGCAUUACUCAUGCUGGCGACCUUCUCACGGCACACGACACGGCUUGGGCUUGGGACAGUGAGAAGCUGGCGCACAUGUUCAGCUGUGAUGAUGCCAAGGUAAACCGCUAUUGGCGGGCUGGGGACGAAUGGCUAUAUUGCAUGGACUUGUACCAAAAACGGCCAAUUCACCGUAAGAUCAGCGCAUCUGUGAACAGAGUGAAGAGCGGACGGACGGGAUCUUCCUCGUCGGUCAGCAAGCACAGGGGAUGGCUGGCCCUUUGGGACACUCAUGCUACAAACGAGGUCAAAGUACACAUGUGGCUUGUGAUGCGUAAUGGUCUUGCGGUCGGUGACGAGCUCCAUCAUAGAGGGAUCAAGCCUGGGUUAUUUUGA
Molecule: ribosomal RNA, 477 nt
Filed under: Triticum aestivum (bread wheat)
Lineage: Eukaryota; Viridiplantae; Streptophyta; Magnoliopsida; Poales; Poaceae
Description: partial small subunit ribosomal RNA
Source: RNAcentral